AUUGAACGCUGGCGGCAUGCCUUACACAUGCAAGUCGAACGGUAACAGGUCUUCGGUUGCUGACGAGUGGCUCACGGUUGCGUAAUACAUCUGAACGUGCCCAGACGUUGGGUUUAACGUGGCGUAAGCUUUGCUAAUACCUCAUACGAUCUAAUUAUGACACCAGGGGACCUCAAUGCCUUUCUCGUUUUUUGCUGCCUAUGGCAGAUUAGUUAGUUGUUGUGUUAAAAGCUUACCACGCCGACGAUCUGUAGCGGGUCUGAGAGGACGACCAGCCACACUGGGACUGAGACACGGACCAGACGCCUACGGGAGGGAGCAGUGGGGAAUUUUGGACAAUGGGCGAAAGCCUGAUCAAGCAAUGCCGCGUGCAGGAUGAAGGCCUUCGGGUUGUAAACUGCUUUUGUACGGAAAGAAAAGGAUCUGGCUAAUACCUGGGGAAAAUGACGGUAACGGAAGAAUAAGCACCGGCUAACUACGUG
RNAcentral lists this ribosomal RNA (482 nucleotides) under uncultured bacterium. RNAcentral describes it as "partial 16S ribosomal RNA". It matches the Rfam family "Bacterial small subunit ribosomal RNA", at positions 30 to 507 of the family's 1533-position model. The record is from RNAcentral.